AUUAUACUGCCUCUGUCCGAAAAUACUUGUCAUCAAAAUGGACAAAAAGGGAUGUAUCUAAAACUAAAAUACAUCUAGAUACAUCCCUUUUAUCCAUUUUGAUGACAAGUAUUUCCGGAUGGAGGGAGUAUAUA
This is a non-coding RNA of Triticum aestivum (bread wheat), 134 nucleotides long. The record is from Rfam. NCBI's taxonomy places the organism in Eukaryota, Viridiplantae, Streptophyta, Magnoliopsida, Poales, Poaceae.